This 179-nucleotide ribosomal RNA is filed under the name uncultured bacterium. Its description in RNAcentral is "partial 16S ribosomal RNA". It matches the Rfam family "Bacterial small subunit ribosomal RNA", at positions 332 to 526 of the family's 1533-position model. The record is from RNAcentral.
AUUACUCCUACGGGAGGCAGCAGUGGGGAAUAUUGCGCAAUGGGCGGAAGCCUGACGCAGCGACGCCGCGUGAGGGAUGACGGCCUUCGGGUUGUAAACCUCUUUCGACAGGGACGAAUUGUGACGGUACCUGUGGAAGAAGCACCGGCCAACUACGUGCCAGCAGCCGCGGUAAUAAU